UGGCCCUGACAUAUUAUACAAUAUAUUAUUAAGCCCCGGAUGCCCAUCUAGUGAAGUAACUCAAAGCUGACAGAUUUAAGAAAAACAAUUCCUAUUUUCCAUUGGCUUAUCAAACUAAUAUUAGGAGACAAUUUUAUCUACAGAGAGAGAGAGAGAUAAUAGGAGAAAGAAAAUAGUGACAGUGCCUGCCUCAUCCUUCAGUUGUUUA
Molecule: unclassified non-coding RNA, 208 nt
Filed under: Hevea brasiliensis (rubber tree)
Lineage: Eukaryota; Viridiplantae; Streptophyta; Magnoliopsida; Malpighiales; Euphorbiaceae
Source: RNAcentral